AUCUAACGUUACUACGACAUGCGUAGGCUGGCUAAUGUAAUUUGAGCGCGACGGUAUAUUUUAUAUCCUCCACUGCACAAUUCAAAUGCAUGACGUUGCCCAUUACCCUAUAGGCUUUGGAAAACAUUGUCCACAAGAUCCAUGCGCAAAACACUACCACACAGUCCCCUGCCAUGAAUGCUACGACCAGAGCUGGCGGUGCGAGUUCCAACAUGACCAAGAUGCCCGAUGUCACCAAGAACAACAUUGCCAAAGGAGCCAGUGCAUCCUUGCAGUCCAGCUCGGGCGUGCUCAUCAUACCCAUCAUGGUGGGGGGCUCACUACAGGGGCGCUUCUAGAGGGCUGUUGCGCAGUGAACAGACACCAGCAAGACUUGAACAUCAGCGGCUGAGAUGGGGCAAACUGUUCUACCAAGAUAACAUUUAAGAAAUAAUCAUUAUGAGAAACUCAGUCAUGUGCACUCCUAACCGAAGAGAUUCGGUGGAGUUGUGUGCCAGACGAGAAUCCAUUUCUAUUUAACUGAUGGGAAUGUUUAUAUUCCCUCAACUUCUGGCUGCUUCAAACCAGUAGGCCUUCACACCUCGCACACUGGCCCCAUGCCGAUUGGCCGAGCUGGAAUAUGGAAUUGUAUGAGCUAGCAUGUGAGAUUUAAUUGUAUGAAUCAUAAUGUGAUAUGCUAAGAUUUGUUUUUAAGGCCAGGUUCAAGUAACCUUUAAAAUGUAGGAUACUUGUGACACUUUUCUUGUAUAAUAAAAAUACUUUAACAUAAUGUUUCUCCUCCUGUCUCUAAAUUCUAAAGCUUGACCUGCCAAGUAAUUUGCUCUGUUCCACUUGUGUCCAGCCCCUUUAUUGAUCACAUAGCUAAGCCCAGGGAUUUCCUUAAGGUAGACUAGGUUUGAUGUGCCACAAAUUAAAUCCUUAUUUUAGAAUGGGGUAUAGGAAUGUUCACCUUUGGCCAGUUGUAGCAUUUAUGCCAUGUCAACUAGGACCUUUCUUGCAUUCCUUGUGGCCAAAACAGUUCAGUUUCCUGACAGUUGACUCACUUGCAGGCUGCUUUAAUUAGAUUUACUUUACCCUAGCUACAUUGACCUGUGACCAGUCAUUUACUUACUAGCCUACAAAGAUGUUCAGGGGAAGGCUGGCUGUAAAAUAUAUUUAAACUAAAACUUGACACUGGGUCUUGCUGGUUGGCUCUACGCCAAAGGGAUGCCUAACUUUUUAGAAUGGU
Molecule: long non-coding RNA, 1228 nt
Organism: Oncorhynchus tshawytscha (Chinook salmon)
Lineage: Eukaryota; Metazoa; Chordata; Actinopteri; Salmoniformes; Salmonidae
Source: Ensembl